CCUACGGGAGGCAGCAGUGGGGAAUAUUGGGCAAUGGGCGCAAGCCUGACCCAGCAAUGCCGCGUGAAGGAAGAAGGCUUUCGGGUUGUAAACUUCUUUGACAGGGGAAGUGCAGAAGACGGUACCCUGAAAACAAGCCACGGCUAACUACGUGCCAGCAGCCGCGGUAAUACGUAGGUGGCAAGCGUUGUCCGGAUUUACUGGGUGUAAAGGGCGUGUAGCCGGGAAGGCAAGUCAGAUGUGAAAUCCGGAGGCUCAACCUCCGAAUUGCAUUUGAAACUGUUUUUCUUGAGUACUGGAGGGGCAGGCGGAAUUCCUAGUGUAGCGGUGAAAUGCGUAGAUAUUAGGAGGAACACCGGCGGCGAAGGCAGCCUGCUGGACCGUAACUGACGUUGAGGCUCGAAAGCGUGGGGAGCAAACAGGAUUAGAUACCCUUGUAGUC
This 442-nucleotide ribosomal RNA is filed under the name uncultured bacterium. Its description in RNAcentral is "partial 16S ribosomal RNA". It matches the Rfam family "Bacterial small subunit ribosomal RNA", at positions 338 to 795 of the family's 1533-position model. The record is from RNAcentral.